GGACGCUAUCGGAUACUGGGCGUAAGCGUGUGUAGGCGGUUCGGAAAGAAAGAUGUGAAAUCCCAGGGCUCAACCUUGGAACUGCAUUUUUAACUGCCGAGCUAGAGUAUGUCAGAGGGGGGUAGAAUUCCACGUGUAGCAGUGAAAUGCGUAGAUAUGUGGAGGAAUACCGAUGGCGAAGGCAGCCCCCUGGGAUAAUACUGACGCUCAGACACGAAAGCGUGGGGAGCAAACAGGAUUAGAUACCCUGGUAGUCCACGCCCUAAACGAUGUCAACUAGCUGUUGGGGCCGUUAGGCCUUAGUAGCGCAGCUAACGCGUGAAGUUGACCGCCUGGGGAGUACGGUCGCAAGAUUAAAACUCAAAUGAAUUGACGG
RNAcentral lists this ribosomal RNA (376 nucleotides) under Alcaligenes faecalis. RNAcentral describes it as "bacterial SSU rRNA". It matches the Rfam family "Bacterial small subunit ribosomal RNA", at positions 536 to 916 of the family's 1533-position model. The record is from RNAcentral. Lineage: Bacteria; Pseudomonadati; Pseudomonadota; Betaproteobacteria; Burkholderiales; Alcaligenaceae.